UGUCCUCGCGCGCGGAAUGCGCUUGACCCUCCUAGCUUAGAGUCACUCAAAAGGGGCGUGUCCUAAUCACCCACUCGCCAGCGAGUUCGAAGUCCACCAAAACAAAGUUGAACAAACAAGACGAAGGUUGGCGAUAUGGAGCAGCGGGCGGACGAAAAGAACGAGAAGAAGAUUCUGUGCGUGGGGCUCGUGUGUCUGGACAUCAUCAGCGUGGUGGACGAAUUUCCCCGAGAAGAUUCCGACAGCAGGUGUGUGUCGCAGCGAUGGCAGCGAGGCGGCAACGCGUCCAAUUCGUGCACAGUUUUAUCACUUCUGGGAUCGUCCUGCGCAUUCAUGGGCUCGCUUUGCGCUGGACCUGCGGCCAGUUUCAUCGUUGAAGACUUCUCCCGUCGGGCCAUCGACAUUUCGCGGCUGGCGUGGCAGCCGAGCGGCCAGACGCCGAGCGCAUGCUGCGUGGUUUGCCCGUCCAGCGGUUCUCGCACCGUCCUGCUAGCCGACACCAACAUCCCAGACGUGACGAGCGAAGACUUCAAUGCGGUGGACUUGAGCGCCUUCAAGUGGAUCCACUGGGAGGCGCGCGACCCGGACGAGCAGCUGAAGAUGAUGGGGAGGGUGGCGCGGUACAAUGCCGCGUUGCCGCGGCAACAGAAGAUCACCAUCUCCGUGGAGAUCGAGAAGCCCAGGGAGGAACUUUAUCGGCUCUUCUCGCACGCCGACGUGGUCGGUCGCAAGUAUCUGCAAUACUGCCUUCACGUUAAGUUAUUCCCCCAAAAAGUGACAUUUUUAAAGGGAAAACAUGUCCGAGUACAAGAUUCAAGUCACAAAAGAAUUCAUCCUAAGAGGAAAAAACGUGCAUUUUUUGGAGAAGAAUCAGUUGUGAUUCAAGUCGCAUUUCUUUAGAGUCCUAUGAAGUAUUUAUGAUAUCAGAGUCAUCAAAAUAUUUUGUCGUAAUUAUGAUGGGAACAAAUUGACCUUUUUUUCAGAAAAAUACGUCAUUGUUUUUUCUCCAAGAAAAUGUUUGCUUUGAGAAUAAAGUACGAAUAAAGUACGGCCACAACUCCGGUCGGCCGCCUCGGCAAUGGAGGCGCCGAACUCGAUGUCCCCCGACUAAAGUUCUGUCGGAGGUGGAGUUGAAACUCCUUCUGACGGGGGAUUCCGCCAGACGUUCCCAGCGGACCCUCACUAUACGUUUGGGCCGACGUCUUCCCCCGCCAUCGGAGCCAACGGUGAUCGGUUGACAGCUCCGCCCCUCUCUUCACCCGAGUGUCCGAGACAUGCGGCCGCAAGUCCGAUGACACGACCGCAAAGUCGAUCAUCGAACGGCGACCGAGGGUGUCCUCGGAAUCAGAAUCAGAAUCAGAAUCAUCUUGAUUUGCCAACUAUGUCCAAAACACACAAGGAAUUUGUCUCCGGUCGUCGGAGCCGCUCGAGUACGACAGACGGUCAAUUGACAGAACACUUUGGAGACAGAAAGAAGACAUUGACAAAAAACAAUUGUGCAAAAAGAUGCAGAGUCCUCGAGCACUUCGAAUGACUCAUAUUGCAAUAGUCCGGUGCAAUGACCAUCGUGCAAAGAGCGCCGAGACUUCAAGGAGCGGAUGCGGUUUAAAGUGACGAGUCGUGCGAUCAUCUGGGACAAUGUCGGUUGUGCAAAUGUUGCAGAUGCGACUCUGGCACGAGUGGCCAGUAUAUGCAAAUAGUGCAGCGUGGCGAGACAACUGCCGUGAGUGCACGAGUCAUACGUCAUUGGCCCCACAGAAAUGUGACAACGAACUCAAGUCAAAAAAUUGCCAGCUUGUUGUCAUGGAAUUAGAGGUUAGGUGGUUAAGAAGUUGAUCUGGUGCCAAGUGCGCGUGUGGACACCCUUAUGCUUGAACACGGUGUUCGUUAUGGACAAUCCGUGACGAGCACAGAAGUCCAAUAACAGAAGACCGCUCGGGUUCUGAUCGGGGGGGCCGUUCCUCCCAAUCACGCCCUUCCAGGUCUCACUGUCAUUGCCCACGUGAGCAUUGAAGUCCCCCAGCAGAACGACGGAGUCCCCAGCGGGAGCGCUCUCCAGCACCCCCUCCGAGGACUCCAAAAAGGGUGGGUACUCUGAACUGCUGUUUGGUGCAUAGGCACAAACAACAGUCAGGACCCGUCCCCCCCACCCGAAGGCGGAGGGAGGCUACCCUCUCGUCCACCGGGGUGAACCCCGACGUACGGGCGCCGAGCCGGGGGACCAAUAGCUAUACUCGCACCUGCUCGGCGCCUCUCACCGUGGGCGACUCCAGAGCGGAAGAGAGUCCGACCCCUCUCGAGAGGACCGGUACCGGAACCCGAGCCGUGCGUGGAGGCGAGUCCGACUAUAUCUAGUCGGAACUUCUCGACCUCGCACACCGGCUCGGGCUCCUUCCCUGCCACAGAGGUGACGUUCCACGUCCCUAGAGCCAGCUUCUGUAGCCGGGGAUCGGAUCGCCGAGGUCCCCGCCUUCGGCCGCCGCCCGGCUCGGACUGCACCCGACCCCUAUGGCCCCUCCCGCAGGCGGUGAGCCCGCGGGAAGGGGGACCCGUGGGGCCCGGCCACCACUGGGCGACCCUGCCAGGGGCAUCAAGCCCCAGACAAUUUAGCUCCUCGGAUUAUUGGGACCCAAACCCCUCCAGCACGAUAAGGUGUUCGUGAGCAAAGACGUCGCUCGGCAGCUGGGCUUCAACUCGCCGCAGAACGCGCUGCGAGGACUCCGAGG
Phycodurus eques (leafy seadragon) is the source of this 2726-nucleotide RNA transcript. It is a transcript of the gene named ketohexokinase, with no coding region annotated. Lineage: Eukaryota; Metazoa; Chordata; Actinopteri; Syngnathiformes; Syngnathidae. The transcript is spliced from 6 exons. The record is from RefSeq and is a predicted model, not a curated record.